AUUGAACGCUGGCGGCAUGCCUUACACAUGCAAGUCGAACGGCAGCACGGGUGCUUGCACCUGGUGGCGAGUGGCGAACGGGUGAGUAAUACAUCGGAACGUACCUUAUCGUGGGGGAUAACGCAGCGAAAGUUGCGCUAAUACCGCAUACGCCCUGAGGGGGAAAGCGGGGGACCGUAAGGCCUCGCGCGAUUAGAGCGGCCGAUGUCUGAUUAGCGUGUUUGUGAUGUCAAAGCUCACCAAGGAGAUGAUCAGUAGCUGGUCUGAGAGGACGAGCAGCCACACUCGGACUGAGACACGGCGCGGAGUCCUACGGGGGGCAGCAGUGGGGAAUUUUGGACAAUGGGGGCAACCCUGAUCCAGCAAUUCCGCGUGAGUGAAGAAGGCGUUCGGGUUGUAAAGCUCUUUUGUCAGGGAAGAAACACCGGCUCUAACACAGUCCGGGAAUGACGGUACCUGAAGAAUAAGCACCGGCUAACUACGUGCCAGCCGCCGCCGUAA
RNAcentral lists this ribosomal RNA (501 nucleotides) under uncultured bacterium. Its description in RNAcentral is "partial 16S ribosomal RNA". It matches the Rfam family "Bacterial small subunit ribosomal RNA", at positions 30 to 523 of the family's 1533-position model. The record is from RNAcentral.